GAAAUGCGAUAAGUAAUGUGAAUUGCAGAAUUCAGUGAAUCAUCGAAUCUUUGAACGCAUCUUGCGCUCCUUGGUAUUCCGAGGAGCAUGCCUGUUUGAGUGUCAUUAAAUAUCUCAAAAAGCUUGUGCUUUUUUGGCAUGGGAUUUUUGGACAUUGGGAGUUGCCGGCUGCUGAUAAAGUGGUGGGCUCUUCUGAAAAGCAUUAGUUGAGGAGCUUUGCACUCUAUUGGUGUGAUAAACUAUCUAUGCCAGGAGAUGCUUCAUGAUCCUCUGCUGUCUAACUGUCUUUAUCAGACAAUAUGAUAAACUUGACCUCAAAUCAGGUAGGACUACCCGCUGAACUUAA
Molecule: ribosomal RNA, 346 nt
Filed under: Amanita rubescens
Lineage: Eukaryota; Fungi; Basidiomycota; Agaricomycetes; Agaricales; Amanitaceae
Description: eukaryotic LSU rRNA
Rfam family: 5.8S ribosomal RNA (bases 1-105)
Source: RNAcentral